AUUGAACGCUGGCGGCAGGCCUAACACAUGCAAGUCGAGCGAGCGGCGGACGGGUGAGUAAUGUAUGGGGACUGCCCGAUAGAGGGGGAUAACUACUGGAAACGGUGGCUAAUACCGCAUAAUAUCGGAUAGCCCAUGUGGGAUUAGGUAGGUGGUGAGGUAAAGGCUCACCAAGCCGACGCUCGCUAGCUGGUCUGAGAGGAUGACCAGCCACACUGGCACUGAGACACGGCCCAGACUCCGACGGAGGCAGCAGUGGGGAAUAUUGCACAAUGGGCGCAAGCCUGAUGCAGCCAUGCCGCGUGUAUGAAGAAGGCCUUAGGGUUGUAAAGUACUUUCAGCGGGGAGGCGUUACCCGCAGAAGAAGCCCCGGCUAACUCCGUGCCAGCAGCCGCGGUAAUUC
RNAcentral lists this ribosomal RNA (403 nucleotides) under uncultured bacterium. Its description in RNAcentral is "partial 16S ribosomal RNA". It matches the Rfam family "Bacterial small subunit ribosomal RNA", at positions 30 to 526 of the family's 1533-position model. The record is from RNAcentral.